RNAcentral lists this ribosomal RNA (253 nucleotides) under uncultured bacterium. RNAcentral's name for it is "partial 16S ribosomal RNA". It matches the Rfam family "Bacterial small subunit ribosomal RNA", at positions 524 to 776 of the family's 1533-position model. The record is from RNAcentral.
UACGUAGGGGGCAAGCGUUGUUCGGAAUUACUGGGCGUAAAGGGCGCGUAGGCGGCACGGCAAGUCAGGAGUGAAAGGCCUGGGCUCAACCUGGGAAUUGCUUUUGAAACUGCCGAGCUAGAGUGCGGAAGGGGCAACUGGAAUUCCCAGUGUAGCGGUGAAAUGCGCAGAUAUCAGGAGGAACACCAAUUGCGAAGGCAGCUCGCUGGGACGUAACUGACGCUGAGACGCGAAAGCGUGGGGAGCAAACAGG